This 767-nucleotide ribosomal RNA is filed under the name Escherichia coli. RNAcentral describes it as "partial 23S ribosomal RNA". It matches the Rfam family "Bacterial large subunit ribosomal RNA", at positions 423 to 1191 of the family's 2925-position model. The record is from RNAcentral. Lineage: Bacteria; Pseudomonadati; Pseudomonadota; Gammaproteobacteria; Enterobacterales; Enterobacteriaceae.
CACGUGGUAUCCUGUCUGAAUAUGGGGGGACCAUCCUCCAAGGCUAAAUACUCCUGACUGACCGAUAGUGAACCAGUACCGUGAGGGAAAGGCGAAAAGAACCCCGGCGAGGGGAGUGAAAAAGAACCUGAAACCGUGUACGUACAAGCAGUGGGAGCACGCUUAGGCGUGUGACUGCGUACCUUUUGUAUAAUGGGUCAGCGACUUAUAUUCUGUAGCAAGGUUAACCGAAUAGGGGAGCCGAAGGGAAACCGAGUCUUAACUGGGCGUUAAGUUGCAGGGUAUAGACCCGAAACCCGGUGAUCUAGCCAUGGGCAGGUUGAAGGUUGGGUAACACUAACUGGAGGACCGAACCGACUAAUGUUGAAAAAUUAGCGGAUGACUUGUGGCUGGGGGUGAAAGGCCAAUCAAACCGGGAGAUAGCUGGUUCUCCCCGAAAGCUAUUUAGGUAGCGCCUCGUGAAUUCAUCUCCGGGGGUAGAGCACUGUUUCGGCAAGGGGGUCAUCCCGACUUACCAACCCGAUGCAAACUGCGAAUACCGGAGAAUGUUAUCACGGGAGACACACGGCGGGUGCUAACGUCCGUCGUGAAGAGGGAAACAACCCAGACCGCCAGCUAAGGUCCCAAAGUCAUGGUUAAGUGGGAAACGAUGUGGGAAGGCCCAGACAGCCAGGAUGUUGGCUUAGAAGCAGCCAUCAUUUAAAGAAAGCGUAAUAGCUCACUGGUCGAGUCGGCCUGCGCGGAAGAUGUAACGGGGCUAAACCAUG